CCUCCUGGGACCUGAGGCAGCA
RNAcentral lists this microRNA (22 nucleotides) under Bos taurus (domestic cattle). RNAcentral's name for it is "bta-miR-10178-5p". The record is from miRBase by way of RNAcentral. Lineage: Eukaryota; Metazoa; Chordata; Mammalia; Artiodactyla; Bovidae.